ACCUGGGAGGCAGAGGUUGCAGUGAGCCGAGAUCACGCCACUGCACUCCAGCCUGGGCAACAGAGCAAGACUCUGUCUCAAACAAACAAACAAAACAAAACAAAACAAAAAAAGCCAGAUAAAAGUACUUUGGUACAAAAGUAAUUGCAGUUUUGGCCAUUAAAAGUAAGCUUUGGUGCAAAAGUAAUUGCGGUUUUGGCCAUUAAGAGUAAGCCACUUUUUUUGGCCAUUAAAAGUGGCUUACAUUUAAUGGCCAAAACCGCAAUUACUUUUGCACCAAACUAUAUUAGGUGGCGCCUUUAGGAACCAGAAAGCAGGCCCUUCAACUAAAUCUGCAGGCACCUUGAUCUCGGACUUCCUAGCUUCCACAACUGUGAAAAACAAAUCUGUGUUAUUUACACGCCACUCAGUCCAAAGCAUUUUGUUAUAGUAGCUCAAAUAGACUAAGACAGGCAUUGCGUUAGGAGCUGGGAACACACUAUUGAGUAAAACAGACAUGGGUCCUACUUACUUGGAGCUUACAGUCCAGUAGGAGAGACAGAAAUUAAGCAAGCAACUGGCGGGGCACUGUGGCUCACGCCUGUAAUCCCAGCAAUUCGGGGGGUGAGGCAAGUGGAUCACUUGAGCUCUGGAGUUCGAGGUCAGCCUAAGUAACAUGGUGAAACCCCAUGUCAACAAAAACUACAAAAAAUUAGCCUGGCGUGGUUGCAUGCAUCUGUAGUCCCAGCUACUUGGGAGGCUGAGAUGGGAGGAUCACUUGAGCCCUGGAGGCGAAGGUUGCAGUGAGUUGAGACUGCACCACUGCACUCCAGCCUGGGCAACAGAGCAAGACCGUGUCUCAAAAAAAAGAAAUUAAGCAAGCAACUGAACAAAAAGAUACAAUUAAAAUGGUUUUUACCAAAAAGGGCCAAAAUUAAAAUAAUAAAACAAUUAAGAUGAAGUGUUAUAAAAUGAAUGGAGGAAUGAGUGAAGUGUUAAAAGAAAAAAAAUACAUAACCAAGUUUCUCAUAGUCUAUAAAUACUAAGUACCCACAGGGUCUUUCUAGCUGAGCCACUGCCCACACUGUUGAAGGACCCCGUCUGAAAUUCCUGCCGUGUGUUCCUGGAACUUCUGGUGUGUCCUGUGUGCUUAUCAGGGGUCAUCUCUGCCUUUACCUUCCUCAGAUACUAACCUGUGAUUGCCUGGAUCCUAGCUCUCCUGGGGACAUUGCCCACCUGCUGCUCACUCUCCUGCUAAAGCAGGGAAGUGCCCCACCCAGUCUUGUGUCAUCCUCCCACCAGGCCCUGGGGCAGAGCUCCCUGUGCUGUGAGUUUUGUAGAGACUUGGAGAACGGCUCAGCAUGAACCCUCAGAGCUGGGCCUGAUUUAGAAGGUGCUUCACUCCUCCCCACCUACUCUGGGCUGGGCUUACACACCUCAGCAGUUUGUUCUUAGAUUAGUGGUUAGUUCUUAACCUUUUUUUGUGACCCGUUUGAGAAUCUGAAAAAACAAAAACAAAAACACCUCAUCCUUGAAAAAUAUGAAUAUAUGUGCACACCACACAUAGUUCCUCAUACAAUUUAAAAAAAAUUAUGAACCAGCCCCUACCCACUGAAAUUCAACUAUGGAUUCCAUGGAGCCCAGACUACAAACCCCCGUUCAAGGGUUUGAGUCCUUUGCUUCGAGUCCCCUGCCUGAGCAGUUGGGGCAGCGUGGUCCAUAGAUCGCUGGUAUCACAGCCACUCUGCCUAUCAAGAACAUAGACAUACUAAAUCCAGCUCCUGGGCACGUGUCCUUGGACUCGGCAUGGAUUCAUUUCCGGUGGCCGCUGUAACAAAUCAGCACAACUUCAGUGGAUUCCCUCACAGUUCCGGAGGCCAGAAGUUAGAAAUCAGUUUCACUAGGCCCUUGGAGGCGGCAAGAGAUGGUAUAGGGAGAAAGGCAAAUAGCAGAGGGAGGGCAGCACCUGCAGGAGGGGAGGCGAGACGGUCAGCGUUCGGUAGCGAGGGAGUCGGGACUUCAUCCUGCCGUGAACACUUUGGACGGUAUCUUCUAACUAGCUCCCUCUGGGUCAUUAGAACCCUGCCCAGGUUCUCCCUGUACUUUCCACAGGGCUCUGCACGUGGUCGGCCCUCAGGAAAUGAAUCAGUUCCUUAACCAGGCUCCUCAGAGGUCCAGCAGCUGCCCAGGAGCUAAAGAUAAUGUUUUUGGCCAUGGUUCAGAGUUAGCCAAAAAGAAAAACUAACAAGAGGACCGCAGCACUUGUCCUCCUGGACAGUGGGCAGUGAUGUGACUGCUCAAAGGCAUUUCCUGUUGGCAGAGGUGGCAGGACCUCAGGCACCGUCCUUCUGAAGGAAAGGCUGCAGCGGCCUGGGCGGCCCUACGGGAGUGGGCAGCCAAUGGUGACCAUAAAUCCCAGCCGCCUGGCGGAGACAGGCCAGCAGCUCAACAGCUUUCUCUUCUGGGAGGGCACGUUGCUUGAAUCCGGGAGAGGGAGGUUCCAGUGAGCCGAGAUCAUGCCACUGCACUCCAGCCGGGGCGACAGAGUGAGACUCCGUCUCAAAAAAAAAAAAAAAAAGAAAACCAGAAAUACCAGAGACAGUAAUUUAUAAAGAAAAGAGGUUUAAUUGGCUCACGGUCCUGUAGAUGGUACAGGAAGCACAGCAGCUUUUGCUU
This 2655-nucleotide long non-coding RNA is filed under the name Homo sapiens (human). RNAcentral describes it as "HSALNT0066819". The record is from RNAcentral. Lineage: Eukaryota; Metazoa; Chordata; Mammalia; Primates; Hominidae.